GACGAACGCUGGCGGCGUGCCUAAUACAUGCAAGUAGAACGCACAGUUUAUACCGUAGCUUGCUACACCAUAGACUGUGAGUUGCGAACGGGUGAGUAACGCGUAGGUAACCUGCCUGGUAGCGGGGGAUAACUAUUGGAAACGAUAGCUAAUACCGCAUAAUAUUAAUUAUUGCAUGAUAAUUAAUUGAAAGGUGCAAUUGCACCACUACCAGAUGGACCUGCGUUGUAUUAGCUAGUAGGGGAGGUAACGGCUCACCUAGGCGACGAUACAUAGCCGACCUGAGAGGGUGCUCGGCCACACUGGGACUGAGCCCCGGCCCAGACUCCUACGGGAGGCAGCAGUAGGGAAUCUUCGGCCAUGGACGAAAGUCUGACCGAGCAACGCCGCGUGAGUGCAGAAGGUUUUCGGAUCGUAAAGCUCUGUUGUAAGAGAAGAACGGGUGUGAGAGUGGAAAGUUCACACUGUGACGGUAUCUUACCAGAAAGGGACGGCUAACUACGUG
RNAcentral lists this ribosomal RNA (505 nucleotides) under uncultured bacterium. RNAcentral's name for it is "partial 16S ribosomal RNA". It matches the Rfam family "Bacterial small subunit ribosomal RNA", at positions 28 to 507 of the family's 1533-position model. The record is from RNAcentral.